This 468-nucleotide ribosomal RNA is filed under the name uncultured bacterium. RNAcentral's name for it is "partial 16S ribosomal RNA". It matches the Rfam family "Bacterial small subunit ribosomal RNA", at positions 28 to 507 of the family's 1533-position model. The record is from RNAcentral.
GACGAACGCUGGCGGCGUGCUUAACACAUGCAAGUCGAACGGAAAGGCCCUGCUUUUGUGGGGUGCUCGAGUGGCGAACGGGUGAGUAACACGUGAGUAACCUGCCCUUGACUUUGGGAUAACUUCAGGAAACUGGGGCUAAUACCGGAUAGGAGCUCCUGCUGCAUGGUGGGGGUUGGAAAGUUUCGGCGGUUGGGGAUGGACUCGCGGCUUAUCGGCUUGUUGGUGGGGUAGUGGCUGACCAAGGCUUUGACGGGUAGCCGGCCUGAGAGGGGGACCGGCCACAAUGGGACUGCGAGACGGCCCAGACUCCUACGGGAGGCAGCGGUGGGGAAUAUUACACAAUGGGCCGGAGCCUGAUGCGGCGGCGCCGCGUGCGUGAUGACGGCCUUCUGGUUGUAAACCGCUUUCGCCUGUGCCGAAGCGUGAGUGACGGUAAUGGGUAAAGAAGCACCGGCUAACUACGUG